UCUCCCCUACAGGUAAUGACUGCAGAGACAGAGAGGAAAGACACAGGAAAACAUAGACGUUGGCAGCGUUUUAGUGUACGUUGGGUGAACUGGACUAAGAAAGAUUGAAAGAGAACGGGGGAGAAGUCGCAUCCAUCAGGGAAAUCUGCCGAAAGAGUUCAGGAGUCAAGGGGCCGGGAAGCAGCAGUGUGUGUGUGGGACGGCUUGCAUACCUCAUUAUCACUACCUGUAGGCUCAGCUCUGGGAAAGUGUCGGCUGUAGAUGGACCGGGAAGAUUAGCUGUAAGAGGGACGGACACACACACACACACACUUACAGAUCUUUCCAACCAGUGAUUUGAUGAGCGGAUAAAGAGAGGAGGAACGAGGGAAGGAGAGAUGAAUCAGGACAACACCGCAGAGGAAUGAGAUUGAGAGAUAGGAAAGAGGAACAAAGCAGUUAGGACCCUCACCCAGAAAACUGCAAGAUCCAGACCAAGACUGAACCCCCUGAAGCCCUGAUUCAGACCAAAUAUACCCCAAAGUCCCAGACUACAAAGCAGGCUGCCUGUUUGAAUGUAAUGAAGUAGAGAAAAUGUCGCAUUUAUUUCAAACACCCAAGUUUUAAUCUUAUUCAUGUACAUAUUUAGUAUCGCCACAUCAACCAGUGACCAGGCAGAACGAUUAUUUUUCUUACAUUUAUAUCACAAUUACAUCAAAUUUCAGCAAA
This is a long non-coding RNA of Sinocyclocheilus anshuiensis, 708 nucleotides long. RefSeq lists it as uncharacterized. The record is from RefSeq and is a predicted model, not a curated record. Lineage: Eukaryota; Metazoa; Chordata; Actinopteri; Cypriniformes; Cyprinidae. The transcript is spliced from 3 exons.